This is a non-coding RNA of Paramuricea clavata, 338 nucleotides long. Lineage: Eukaryota; Metazoa; Cnidaria; Anthozoa; Malacalcyonacea; Plexauridae. The record is from the annotation of a GenBank genome assembly.
CCGACUUUUGCCCAACUUUUGUUGAACAUUUGCCCGACUUUUCGACUUUGUAAUCUUUUGGGGGGGGGCAGCUGCCCCCCCUGCCCCUUCCCCCGUCCCGUACGCCUAUGAAUGUAUCUGACUUUUUAGGUCAACGAUUACGAAUGCAAACGUCUCUAUGGUUGCGAAGAAAAAUCUUUAAUCUUUAAUUAAAAUUCUUUACACAUGGUAGCCUAUUCGGCGGAUAAUUAUUUACAAAACUGGUUUUCAAAGGGCCGUGUAUCUAUCAAUAUACUAAGCUAUGAAACACACUAAUAUAUAUGAAUUGGAAAAAUAGGACACAAGUAAAAUGAAUUCCC